This 455-nucleotide ribosomal RNA is filed under the name Salmonella enterica. RNAcentral describes it as "bacterial SSU rRNA". It matches the Rfam family "Bacterial small subunit ribosomal RNA", at positions 1 to 456 of the family's 1533-position model. RNAcentral also lists the same sequence under 1 other name. Lineage: Bacteria; Pseudomonadati; Pseudomonadota; Gammaproteobacteria; Enterobacterales; Enterobacteriaceae. The record is from RNAcentral.
UGAAGAGUUUGAUCAUGGCUCAGAUUGAACGCUGGCGGCAGGCCUAACACAUGCAAGUCGAACGGUAACAGGAAGCAGCUUGCUGCUUCGCUGACGAGUGGCGGACGGGUGAGUAAUGUCUGGGAAACUGCCUGAUGGAGGGGGAUAACUACUGGAAACGGUGGCUAAUACCGCAUAACGUCGCAAGACCAAAGAGGGGGACCUUCGGGCCUCUUGCCAUCAGAUGUGCCCAGAUGGGAUUAGCUUGUUGGUGAGGUAACGGCUCACCAAGGCGACGAUCCCUAGCUGGUCUGAGAGGAUGACCAGCCACACUGGAACUGAGACACGGUCCAGACUCCUACGGGAGGCAGCAGUGGGGAAUAUUGCACAAUGGGCGCAAGCCUGAUGCAGCCAUGCCGCGUGUAUGAAGAAGGCCUUCGGGUUGUAAAGUACUUUCAGCGGGGAGGAAGGUGUUG